Leptinotarsa decemlineata (Colorado potato beetle) is the source of this 1494-nucleotide long non-coding RNA. Lineage: Eukaryota; Metazoa; Arthropoda; Insecta; Coleoptera; Chrysomelidae. The record is from RefSeq and is a predicted model, not a curated record.
GAAAGUGAUACCAGUGACAAGUGCACCGAUUUUAUUGGAAUGUGGAUUUACAAAAAUUGAAUUCAAGUUCGGUCGUGGAGAGAAAACCAAUUAACAAAAUAACAGAUUAACCUGUAGUGUAGAGACGCCGCAGAGAAUACUGACAGCCAAAAUCGUGAAAGGCAAAUUUGGCGAGGAGGUGUUUUUGGAUUUGGGCGAGAAAGUGUAAUUUUUACCACACCGAGUAACGGAGGAGUAUUACCCCCAUUUGGAAGAAUUUUCAUCAGGAAAAUAUGCUGUCGUUUUUCAUUUGAAAUUUUACGAAAUUAAGAACAAUACAUCAAUGUGUGCAGUAUCAAUUCAGAGUCAUCUCAACAACUACAUCCAAAACUGUCUUAGCAACCUUUCCAGAACGAACUUCAAACCUCAGCAGCUUCCAGAAGCAUCUCAACAAUUUUCACAGAACGAGCUUCAAAUCUCUGCAGCUUCCAAAACCGACUGUCAUACCAAGAAUUUCAUUUGUGAACAAAGUAUCGGUGAGUCAUGUCAAUAAAUAAAAUCCAAAUGAUUGAUUUUUCAAAAAUCAAGUCGAUAAUUGAUAAAUACAUCUUACUCAUCAAAGACACUUAUUCAGAUUAUAUUGCCAAACAAGCUAUACAAUUUAUUAACAAACAUAAAAGGAAAUGCGUAUUAGCUAUGAAAAAAAUUAAAUUUUCGGUAGGGGGAAAAAAAAAUACACAAAUUGGGGAAUUUAAACGCUUUAGAGUGAUUAUCAAAAUAAUGAAUAAUAAACAUAUAGGCUCGGGUUUGAAGCGACGAAGCUCCAGGGUAAAGUGGAAAAUGUUAACAAUGUUUUCAAUAGUAGAGUAAUAACGGGGGUAAUCAUCAAUUUAACUCAUAAAGAUCCUAGAAAGUUUCUAGGCGAUGAUUUUUCAUUAUUCAAACGUGAUAUUUACAAAAUUUCAAAACAAAUGUCAUGCCUCAAAGUUAAUGUUACAUUUUCAGGGAAUUUUAUUAAAAAAUUGAAUGAUGGGGAUAUUGUUGAUCGUAAAUAUUUCAGUACGCCAAAUAAAGUUAUUGAUUCAGGUACGGACUGGACUGCUUGGUACAAUGAAAAUGCUGUAGAUGUUAUAUUGAAUAAAUUAGGCAAAUUUGAAGAACAGUAGGGGUGGGCUUUGAGUAAAACUAUUUUGUUGGAAGUAGCAAUAAAUAAAUAUGUAAUUCUCCAAUGGACUUAACAUCAUAUUUCCAAAUUCGAAAAACUUAAUAUUUCUGUAAAUGUUUACACGUUAGAAUUGAAUCAAUUGAAGGAAAAAUCAUUUUAUGUAGUAGUAGGUACCUGCUAGACUCACGACAAUGAAACGAGACAUGUUGAAUUUUUCAUUAAUUCAAGAGAAAUAUUGACUAAAAUUGAAUGAUUAUGAGGCUUCACCUAUUAAUGAUGACGAGAUUGAAAUUAAAUUUCAUUGUUUGUUUGAAAGUAGUUGACAAUGUUUCUUGGUGCAUUUUAUUAGU